Molecule: ribosomal RNA, 451 nt
Filed under: uncultured bacterium
Lineage: Bacteria
Description: partial 16S ribosomal RNA
Rfam family: Bacterial small subunit ribosomal RNA
Source: RNAcentral
AGCGAACGCUGGCGGCAGGCUUAACACAUGCAAGUCGAGCGGGCGUAGCAAUACGUCAGCGGCAGACGGGAGAGUAACACGUGGGAACGCGCCCUACGGUUCGGAAUAACUCAGGGAAACUUGAGCUAAUACCGGAUACGCCCUAACGGGGAAAGAUUUAUCGCCGAAGGAACGGCCCGCGUCGGAUUAGCUAGUUGGUGAGGUAAUGGCUCACCAAGGCGACGAUCCGUAGCUGGUCUGAGAGGAUGGCCAGCCUCACUGGGACUGAGACACGGCCCAGACUCCUACGGGAGGCAGCAGUGGGGAAUAUUGGACAAUGGGCGCAAGCCUGAUCCAGCCAUGCCGCGUGGAUGAUGAAGGCCUUAGGGUUGUAAAGUCCUUUUAACGGGGAAGAUAAUGACGGUACCCGUAGAAUAAGCCCCGGCUAACUUCGUGCCAGCCGCCGCAGUAA